GGGGCAUUAGCUCAGCUGGGAGAGUGCUUGCAUGGCAUGCAAGAGGUCAGGGGUUCGAGCCCCCUAUGCUCCA
This 73-nucleotide transfer RNA is filed under the name Oceanobacillus profundus. It matches the Rfam family "tRNA". Rfam says of the family: Transfer RNA (tRNA) molecules are approximately 80 nucleotides in length. Their secondary structure includes four short double-helical elements and three loops (D, anti-codon, and T loops). RNAcentral also lists the same sequence under 8 other names. Lineage: Bacteria; Bacillati; Bacillota; Bacilli; Caryophanales; Bacillaceae. The record is from Rfam by way of RNAcentral.